Molecule: ribosomal RNA, 403 nt
Filed under: uncultured bacterium
Lineage: Bacteria
Description: partial 16S ribosomal RNA
Rfam family: Bacterial small subunit ribosomal RNA
Source: RNAcentral
GACGAACGCUGGCGGCGUGCCUAAUACAUGCAAGUCGAACGCAGUGGGGACGGGUGAGUAACACGUGGGUAACCUCCCAUCAGAGGGGAUAACACUUGGAAACAGGUGCUAAACCGAUAUUUUUUGAUGGUCCCUCUGUGCAUGAGCUAGUUGGUGAGGUAACGGCUCACAAUGCCCACGAUGCAUAGCCGACCUGAGAGGGGUAUCGGCCACACUGGGACUGGGACACGGCCCAGACUCCUACGGGAGGCAGCAGUAGGGAAUCUUCGGCAAUGGACGAAAGUCUGACCGAGCAACGCCGCGUGAGUGAAGAAGGUUUUCGGAUCGUAAAACUCUGUUGUUAGAGAAGCGGUAAGGAAAGAGAAAGCCACGGCUAACUACGUGCCAGCAGCCGCGGUAAUUG